AGAGUUUGAUCCUGGCUCAGAUUGAACGCUGGCGGAAUGCUUUACACAUGCAAGUCGAACGGCAGCACGGGUGCUUGCACCUGGUGGCGAGUGGCGGACGGGUGAGUAAUGCAUCGGAACGUGCCGUGUAGUGGGGGAUAACGCAUCGAAAGGUGUGCUAAUACCGCAUACGCCCUGAGGGGGAAAGUGGGGGACCGAAAGGCCUCAUGCUAUACGAGCGGCCGAUGUCCGAUUAGCUAGUUGGUGGGGUAAAGGCUCACCAAGGCGACGAUCGGUAGCUGGUCUGAGAGGACGACCAGCCACACUGGGACUGAGACACGGCCCAGACUCCUACGGGAGGCAGCAGUGGGGAAUUUUGGACAAUGGGGGAAACCCUGAUCCAGCCAUUCCGCGUGAGUGAAGAAGGCCUUCGGGUUGUAAAGCUCUUUUGUCAGGGAGGAAAUCCUUAACGUUAAUACCGUUGGGGGAUGACAGUACCUGAAGAAUAAGGACCGGCUAACUACGUGCCAGCAGCCGCGGUAAUACGUAGGGUCCAAGCGUUAAUCGGAAUUACUGGGCGUAAAGCGUGCGCAGGCGGCUGAUUAAGCCAGAUGUGAAAUCCCCGGGCUCAACCUGGGAACUGCGUUUGGAACUGGUCAGCUAGAGUACGUCAGAGGGGGGUAGAAUUCCACGUGUAGCAGUGAAAUGCGUCAGAUGUGGAGGAAUACCCUAUGGCGAAGGCUCCCCCUGUGAUGAUACUGACUUUCAUGCACUAAAGCGUGGUUGAGCAAACAGUGAUUACAUUCCCUGGAAGGCGUGCC
RNAcentral lists this ribosomal RNA (800 nucleotides) under uncultured bacterium. Its description in RNAcentral is "bacterial SSU rRNA". It matches the Rfam family "Bacterial small subunit ribosomal RNA", at positions 8 to 801 of the family's 1533-position model. The record is from RNAcentral.